Molecule: ribosomal RNA, 406 nt
Filed under: uncultured bacterium
Lineage: Bacteria
Description: bacterial SSU rRNA
Rfam family: Bacterial small subunit ribosomal RNA
Source: RNAcentral
AACGAACGCUGGCGGCGUGCCUAACACAUGCAAGUCGUGCGAGAAAGUUCCUUCGGGAGCGAGUAAAGCGGCGCACGGGUGAGUAACACGUAGGUAACCUGCCCCCCAGUCUGGAACAACUAGAGGAAACUCUAGCUAAUGCCGGAUGAGACCACGAUCCCUUCGGGGGUUGCGGCCAAAGAUGGCCUCUACUUGUAAGCUAUCGCUGAGGGAUGGGCCUGCGGGCCAUUAGCUUGUUGGUGAGGUAACGGCUCACCAAGGCUGUGAUGGCUAGCUGGUCUGAGAGGAUGACCAGCCACACUGGGACUGAGACACGGCCCAGACUCCUACGGGAGGCAGCAGUGGGGAAUAUUGCGCAAUGGGCGAAAGCCUGACGCAGCGACGCCGCGUGGGGUGAUGAAGGCCU